UAGCUCAGUCAGUUGAGUGCGGCGCUAACAACGCUAAGGUCACGGGUUCGAUUCCCGU
This 58-nucleotide transfer RNA is filed under the name Apaloderma vittatum (bar-tailed trogon). It matches the Rfam family "tRNA", at positions 8 to 63 of the family's 71-position model. Rfam says of the family: Transfer RNA (tRNA) molecules are approximately 80 nucleotides in length. Lineage: Eukaryota; Metazoa; Chordata; Aves; Trogoniformes; Trogonidae. The record is from Rfam by way of RNAcentral.